AUUAUUAGAUACCCGGGUAGUCCUAGCCGUAAACGAUACUCGCUAGGUGUCGGCCACGGUGCGACCGUUGUCGGUGCCGUAGGGAAGCCGUGAAGCGAGCCACCUGGGAAGUACGGCCGCAAGGCUGAAACUUAAAGGAAUUGGCGGGGGAGCACCACAACGGGUGGAGCUUGCGGUUUAAUUGGAUUCAACGCCGGAAAUCUUACCGGGACCGACAGCAAUAUGAAGGCCAGGCUGAAGACUUUGCCGGAUUAGCUGAGAGGUGGUGCAUGGCAAU
This 277-nucleotide ribosomal RNA is filed under the name uncultured archaeon. Its description in RNAcentral is "partial 16S ribosomal RNA". It matches the Rfam family "Archaeal small subunit ribosomal RNA", at positions 728 to 1001 of the family's 1478-position model. The record is from RNAcentral.